UCAGCAUUUUGGAACGUCUGCCUGACUCAAUAGGAGGUGAUCAGAGACCUCAAUCAUCUGGAUUGGUAAGAGUCUUACCUUACCGUAAUCAAAACUCUAAACUAAUUGGUUCUUCUCAUCGUCAAAAUCUAGGGUUUCUGUUGUAUCUUUCAUUUCAAGAAGUAAUUGGUUCCCCUGCCCCUUUCAACAAUGCAUCUGGAUGUCAAUCCAAGUUAGGUUUUGCUGGAUUUUCCAUCGCCGCCAUCCUUCGUGCUUUGAUUUUUGGUAAAUCUUUCGUAUGCUUUCCUCUUUCCCGUUUACCUGUUUAAAGCUCUUUUCUCCCCCUUUCUCUCAGAUGUGGAUCAACUUUAUGAACUCUACUAUCCAGAGUUUCUGCAGUUUUACUGAUUUGUUCACGGCAAGUACCAAGGAAUUUGAUUACGAAAGGGAAGAGAGAGGACAUACGAUGGAGUGUUGAUUAGGUACUUGAGAGGAGGGAAAAUGGAGAAGACCCAAUUCGGAACGAGUGUCCCAUGUUGUUCAUGAAGUCGAUGUAAGUGACGUAGCCAGCAACAGAGACGAUGGAUGCAGUUCCAUUUAGAGCUAUUGUCAACAUUGGUAUUGUGAACAGGGCAUAGUAUGCUACGAGCUCUGCAAAUGGAUGUAUCACAGAUGCGACACCGACAUUCAUUAUAUUAUUACAGUUCAAAGCUCAAAUUGUUUAAAAGGAGAGGUACUUACAAGAAAUAGGUUCGGUGACAAUUGAGGAAUCGUGAUGAGAAUGGUAACGAGAGUAAAGAUAAUGAUGGUGCAGUGCUCUAUGAAGCCAGUAGUAGAGGAAUUCCAUAGGGCAGGCAUGGAGCAACAUGGUUAUAAGCACACUAUCCAUUCUCCCUAUAGGAUCAGGAAGCAUUAUCUGCUUUCAAAGAUGGUUCUCACGGGAAUAUUUUCCUGACUCUCAUUGCAAGGCGUUCUCGACAUUAUGCUGGGAUACUUGAAACGUGGAGUGAUUGAGAAAGGCAGUGUGUGGCAAAUGAUGUUGAGACUGAAGAUCAUAUAAUGUUUUUACAUGAUUAUCUAAAACAGGUUGCUAAUUUACAUUCCCAGUUGAAUACUCAAAGUCAGAUGGAGUAUUAAUCAACUGAUGUUGCAUAUUGAUGCUCAAAAUUGCC
This is a long non-coding RNA of Hibiscus syriacus, 1151 nucleotides long. RefSeq lists it as uncharacterized. The transcript is spliced from 6 exons. The record is from RefSeq and is a predicted model, not a curated record. Lineage: Eukaryota; Viridiplantae; Streptophyta; Magnoliopsida; Malvales; Malvaceae.